RNAcentral lists this ribosomal RNA (429 nucleotides) under Gemmatimonadota bacterium. RNAcentral's name for it is "Gemmatimonadetes bacterium partial 16S ribosomal RNA". It matches the Rfam family "Bacterial small subunit ribosomal RNA", at positions 355 to 776 of the family's 1533-position model. Lineage: Bacteria; Pseudomonadati; Gemmatimonadota. The record is from RNAcentral.
UAGGGAAUCUUCGGCAAUGGACGAAAGUCUGACCGAGCAACGCCGCGUGAGUGAAGAAGGUUUUCGGAUCGUAAAACUCUGUUGUUAGAGAAGAACAAGGACGUUAGUAACUGAACGUCCCCUGACGGUAUCUAACCAGAAAGCCACGGCUAACUACGUGCCAGCAGCCGCGGUAAUACGUAGGUGGCAAGCGUUGUCCGGAUUUAUUGGGCGUAAAGCGAGCGCAGGCGGUUUCUUAAGUCUGAUGUGAAAGCCCCCGGCUCAACCGGGGAGGGUCAUUGGAAACUGGGAGACUUGAGUGCAGAAAGGGAGAGUGGAAUUCCAUGUGUAGCGGUGAAAUGCGUAGAUAUAUGGAGGAACACCAGUGGCGAAGGCGGCUCUCUGGUCUGUAACUGACGCUGAGGCUCGAAAGCGUGGGGAGCAAACAGG